AAAGAGACGGUUUUUGCCGACAAAACUUCUUAAAACCCCUGCUCUUUUACACUUCCUCUUUCUUCUCACCUAUUCAUCUUUGACUACGCAGUUUUCGGCAUAGCAUGUCCGACCAGCAGUUAGGCGAAUUUGAUUACAUGGCGGAAGAGGGAGAAAUGGCUGAUUUGGUAGACCAAAUGGACCAAGAUAACUAUGGUGGUGAAGGCAAUGUAGAAAUUGAAGCAGAUGAAUAUGACAUGCUCACGAAGGUGACUGAUACAUCUUCUGCUCAAGCUAGGAAGGGCAAAGACAUACAGGGUAUUCCGUGGGAAAGAUUGAACAUAACGAGGGAUAAGUACAGAUUGACAAGGCUUGAACAAUACAAGAAUUAUGAGAACAUCCCUUUGUCUGGUCAAGCUGUAGAUAAGGAGUGCAAGCAAAUGGAGAAGGGUGGCAACUACUAUGAAUUCUUUCAUAAUACUAGACUGGUUAAACCCACAAUUCUUCAUUUUCAGCUCAGAAACUUGGUUUGGGCUACCUCGAAACAUGAUGUUUAUCUUAUGUCUAAUUAUUCAGUUAUGCACUGGUCAUCUUUAUCUUCCAAUUUGUCUGAGGUCAUCAAUUUUGCAGGACAUAUAGCACCUACUGAGAAACAUGCUGGAAGUUUGCUGGAAGGUUUCACACAAACUCAAAUUGGCACAUUGGCAGUCAAGGAUAAUUUUCUUGUUGCUGGUGGUUUCCAAGGAGAGCUUACUUGCAAACGUUUGGACAAAAAAGGCAUUAGCUUUUGUACCCGCACCACAUAUGAUGAUAAUGCCAUCACAAAUGCUGUUGAGAUAUAUGACAGCUGGAGGGGUGGAAUUCAUUUUAUGGCUUUCUUGCAGCAUAAGAGAAUAUGACAUGGAGAGGUUUCAGCUUCUGAAUCACUUCCGCUUCUCUUGGCCAGUUAAUCAUACAUCAUUAAGCCCUAACCGUAGGCUAAUUGCUGUCGUUGGGGAUCACCUGGAUGGUUUGCUUGUUGAUGCGCAUAAUGGAAAGGUCAUAGCCUCAGUUGGAGGUCAUCUGGAUUACUCUUUUGCAUCUGCGUGGCACCCAGAUGGACAUGUUUUCGCUACAGGUAAUCAGGAUAAAACUUGCCGGGUAUGGGAUAUAAGAAAUUUGUCCUCGCCACUUGUAAUUCUAAAGGGAAACUUGGGUGCUGUCCGAUCUAUUCGCUUUUCAUCAGAUGGCCAGUUCAUGGUCGUGGCUGAACCUGCAGAUUUUGUUCAUGUGUAUAGCACCAAGGCAGACUAUAAAAGGCGACAAGAGAUAGAUUUCUUUGGUGAGAUUUCAGGAGUGGCUUUAAGUCCAGAUGACGAGUCUUUAUACAUAGGAAUCUGGGACCGGACUUAUGCAAGCUUGCUACAGUAUAACAAAAGGCAUGCAUAUGGAUAUCUUGAUUCAUACUUGUGAUUGUUUAUUAGAGAAUUUUCAUCACAAGUAUGCCGCUGAUGCUUUCACUCUUUUGUAUCCGGUUCUAUGAACUAGUUAGUUUGAGUUUGAAUCAAAGACAAUUACACAAUAAGGUUAAUGUGACAUACUUUGCUCGGAUCAUGUACAGGCUAUGAUUAGAUGUUUGCAUACUUGAAAUGAAAGCCCUCUUAUCAAGUCCCUG
RNAcentral lists this unclassified non-coding RNA (1633 nucleotides) under Hevea brasiliensis (rubber tree). The record is from RNAcentral. Lineage: Eukaryota; Viridiplantae; Streptophyta; Magnoliopsida; Malpighiales; Euphorbiaceae.